GCACCGCUAGCUCAACUGGCAGAGCAUCUGACUCUUAAUCAGAGGGUUCUGGGUUCAAGUCCCAGGCGGUGUACCA
This 76-nucleotide transfer RNA is filed under the name Arcanobacterium phocisimile. Its description in RNAcentral is "tRNA-Lys". It matches the Rfam family "tRNA". Rfam says of the family: Transfer RNA (tRNA) molecules are approximately 80 nucleotides in length. Their secondary structure includes four short double-helical elements and three loops (D, anti-codon, and T loops). The record is from RNAcentral. Lineage: Bacteria; Bacillati; Actinomycetota; Actinomycetes; Actinomycetales; Actinomycetaceae.